UGAGGAAUAUUGGUCAAUGGGCGCAAGCCUGAACCAGCCAUGCCGCGUGCAGGAUGAAGGUCCUAUGGAUUGUAAACUGCUUUUGUACGGGAAGAAACCCUGGAACGUGUUCCAGAUUGACGGUACCGUAAGAAUAAGGAUCGGCUAACUCCGUGCCGGCAGCCGCGGUAAUACGGAGGAUCCGAGCGUUAUCCGGAAUCAUUGGGUUUAAAGGGUCCGUAGGCGGCCUAGUAAGUCAGUGGUGAAAUCUCACGGCUCAACCGUGAAAUGGCCAUUGAUACUGCGGGGCUUGAAUUGUUGGGAAGUAACUAGAAUAUGUAGUGUAGCGGUGAAAUGCUUAGAUAUUACAUGGAAUACCGAUUGCGAAGGCAGGUUACUACCAAUACAUUGACGCUGAUGGACGAAAGCGUGGGGAGCGAACAGGAUUAGAUACCCUGGUAGUCCACGCCGUAAACGAUGGAUACUAGCUGUUGGGCCGCAAGGUUCAGUGGCUAAGCGAAAGUGAUAAGUAUCCC
RNAcentral lists this ribosomal RNA (515 nucleotides) under uncultured bacterium. RNAcentral's name for it is "bacterial SSU rRNA". It matches the Rfam family "Bacterial small subunit ribosomal RNA", at positions 355 to 870 of the family's 1533-position model. The record is from RNAcentral.